AUAAAUGGGAGGGGAAAGUGGUCCUUUCGAGUAGCAGUGUUGAGUUUGCGAGAAUCAAUGUAUACCCUCCAUCCCGUAACAGUUUUGGUAGGAAUCAAUUCAUUCUUCUCAUUUUUCACUACUGUAAUACCUCCCUUUUUCAGCAAAACUUGAACAGGACUAAUCCAUGCACUGUCUGAGAUAGGAUAGAUGAUCCCUGCA
Molecule: long non-coding RNA, 201 nt
Filed under: Olea europaea (common olive)
Lineage: Eukaryota; Viridiplantae; Streptophyta; Magnoliopsida; Lamiales; Oleaceae
Description: long non-coding RNA (OEUR_LNC003632)
Source: RNAcentral